This is a long non-coding RNA of Dama dama (fallow deer), 449 nucleotides long. RefSeq lists it as uncharacterized. NCBI's taxonomy places the organism in Eukaryota, Metazoa, Chordata, Mammalia, Artiodactyla, Cervidae. The record is from RefSeq and is a predicted model, not a curated record. The transcript has 4 exons.
CUGGCUCCUCCCGGUGAGCUGGGUGCUAUGACAGAUUAGACUUUUAUGCAAGAAAAUCAGUCCUGCGCAGUUGAUGUACUGCUUUAAACUUAAAGACCCCUUGGGACCUGAAACUGUAAGAUUUUCCUGGCUUUUGUUGACCUUUUACUCUUCCAUAAAAUUGCAAAUCAGCUUGUCCAGUUCUUCAGAAAAUCCUGAAUUCUAUAAACCUGAAGAGUAAUCUUUUAGAAAAAUCAUCAGAAGGAGGGAAUUUGUGGAAAUAAAACUGGAAACAUUCAGAAUCUUGAUGGUGUGCCAAACCAAAUGUCAACUGGAGCUCAGCCAAAGACUCAAGAGAUCUUCCCUGGAGUAGGACCCAGGAAUCAAACCUGCGUCUCUUGCAUCUCCUGCACUGACAGGCAGAUUCUUUAUCAUUGUGCCACCUGGGAAGCCCCGAUGUGUCAAUGCCG